AGAGCGAACGCUGGCGGCAGGCCUAACACAUGCAAGUCGAGCGCCCGUAGCAAUACGGGAGCGGCAGACGGGAUAGUAACACGUGGGAACGCGCCCUUCGGUUCGGAAUAACUCAGGGAAACUUGAGCUAAUACCGAAUACGCCCUUACGGGGAAAGAUUUAUUGCCGAAGGAACGGCCCGCGUCCGAUUAGCUAGUUGGUGAGGUAAUGGCUCACCAAGGCUACGAUCGGUAGCUGGUCUGAGAGGAUGACCAGCAUCACUGGGACUGAGACACGGCCCAGACUCCUACGGGAGGCGGCAGUGGGGAAUAUUGGACAAUGGGCGCAAGCCUGAUCCAGCCAUGCCGCGUGGAUGAUGAAGGCCUUAGGGUUGUAAAGUCCUUUUAACGGGGAAGAUAAUGACGGUACCCGUAGAAUAAGCCCCGGCUAACUUCGCGCCAGCAGCCGC
RNAcentral lists this ribosomal RNA (448 nucleotides) under uncultured bacterium. RNAcentral's name for it is "SSU rRNA". It matches the Rfam family "Bacterial small subunit ribosomal RNA", at positions 26 to 518 of the family's 1533-position model. The record is from RNAcentral.